UCGGGGCGCAGCUUUUAAAGGAACCCCCCCUGUUAGUCAUCUUCUUCAGCCGCUGAACACCCAUCGAAGACCCCUCAUCUUCAGCUUCUUCUCCACCCGUUUCCCUCACAAUAAACGAUCCCAUCUCCACAUAAAAAUAGACUCUCUCUUCAACACAAAAGCAGCGGCAGAGAACUAAAGACCUCCCCCCAUCGGCGAACCUGCCAUCUAUGCUCCAUUGACACACACCCAGCCAGACCACCUUCAAAAUACUACAGUUUCAGUCCAAAAUCCAGCUCAAAAAUAGCCGAAAAUAAAUUCAAAAUCAGUUGGAGUUCAUCUUCGUCGUUUUUGUUUGGUUCAAGUUUUUCCGGUGAGCUUCGAGUCGUCGGAAGUUGCUGUCCAAGUCUCCGUUCAGCUGCAAGUCGAGGUACUGUCGUUGUCGCCGAUGAGUUUCCGUUUAACGGUCCCGGCUCCGGUCAGAGGUUCAUCCUUGUUUGAAUUUUGAAAGAAGCAGUCAAGUAAUUGCAAAGGGAUACCUCUGGGUAAUUAAUUUCGGUGGUCAUUCUGCAGUUUGAUUGUGAUAUGCCGAUCAAUAUUUUGUGCUCCUUUGGGUCGUUACAAGUUCUGCUUGCAUGACUAGCGGAGAGUCUCCAAAUUGGAGGAAAACUUAGGAUGAAUCAAAUUGUACAAUGAAUUUGUCUAAAGGAAAUAAAUAAUAGAUGCAGAGUGUAUGUAUGUUAGCUGAGACAGAAUAGUGUCCUAUUUUCAUGUGUGAAAUGCUUUCUUUAUUUAGCUGAUGUAAUAAUUAGCAAAAUAUCGUGAUUAUCAAAUAUCUUGCUAUGAAAUUUUUUGGCA
Nicotiana tabacum (common tobacco) is the source of this 837-nucleotide long non-coding RNA. RefSeq lists it as uncharacterized. NCBI's taxonomy places the organism in Eukaryota, Viridiplantae, Streptophyta, Magnoliopsida, Solanales, Solanaceae. The record is from RefSeq and is a predicted model, not a curated record.